UACGGAGGGUGCAAGCGUUGUCCGGAAUUAUUGGGCGUAAAGAGCUCGUAGGCGGUCUGUCGCGUCGGCUGUGAAAUCCCGAGGCUCAACCUCGGGUCUGCAGUCGAUACGGGCAAACUGGAGUGUUGCAGGGGAGACUGGAAUUCCUGGUGUAGCGGUGAAAUGCGCAGAUAUCAGGAAGAACACCCGUGGCGAAGGCGGCUCUCUGGGACGGUACUGACGCUGAGACGCGAAAGCGUGGGGAGCGAACAGG
RNAcentral lists this ribosomal RNA (253 nucleotides) under uncultured bacterium. RNAcentral describes it as "partial 16S ribosomal RNA". It matches the Rfam family "Bacterial small subunit ribosomal RNA", at positions 524 to 776 of the family's 1533-position model. The record is from RNAcentral.